ACCAUUUGAUUUUUAUGGGGGGGGGGCUAGGAUUAAAUUUGGAAAAAAUAGGCAGGACAGGAAUUUUGAGUAAAAAAAAAAGGCAGGAUGAGACACUUGCAAAAAAAAAAAGUCAGGAUGACAAUUUAGGUAAAAAAAGUCAGGAUAAACUAAAAAAAAAAGGCAGGACCGAAUAGAGUGAAAAAUAAAAAGGCAGGACAGAGAUUACAAUUAAAAAAAAAUGCAGGACAAAAUUUUUCAUCCUAGGCCCCCCCA
RNAcentral lists this long non-coding RNA (255 nucleotides) under Mytilus galloprovincialis (Mediterranean mussel). Lineage: Eukaryota; Metazoa; Mollusca; Bivalvia; Mytilida; Mytilidae. The record is from RNAcentral.